This 276-nucleotide ribosomal RNA is filed under the name uncultured prokaryote. RNAcentral's name for it is "partial 16S ribosomal RNA". It matches the Rfam family "Bacterial small subunit ribosomal RNA", at positions 524 to 800 of the family's 1533-position model. The record is from RNAcentral.
UACGGAGGAUCCGAGCGUUAUCCGGAUUUAUUGGGUUUAAAGGGUGCGCAGGCGGGAGAUUAAGUCGGCGGUGAAAUUUUGCAGCUCAACUGUAAAAGUGCCUUCGAAACUGGUUUCCUUGAGUGUAGAUGAAGUAGGCGGAAUUUGUAGUGUAGCGGUGAAAUGCUUAGAUAUCACGAGGAACUCCGAUUGCGCAGGCAGCUUACUAAACUACUACUGACGCUCAGGCACGAAGGCGUGGGAUCAAACAGGAUUAGAUACCCCGGUAGUCCCUGA